GUGAUUAUUUUUUUUUCUUUUCUUUUUUUCCAGAGCUGGGGACCGAACUCAGGGCCUUGCGCUUGCUAGGCAAGCGCUCUACCACUGAGCUAAAUCCCCGACCCCAAACAUGUGAUUAUUUAACACUUGACAGCACGGCUAGCUCGUGGGCUGGGCCAUGUUAUAAAGUGUUGUGCCUCUCAUGCAUGAGGUCCUGGGUUUAACACUCUUUACUGCAUAAACUAGGUGUGGUAGGUGACUGCUUAGAGCUAAUAACGAGAGGUGAAGUCAAGAAGGUCAGAAAUCCAAAGUCAUCAUAGGAGUUGAAGGCCAGACUGAUGUGUAUGGUAUCCCAUCUCAAGGGAGGGGGGUGUUGAGUGGCUAGACCCACUAAAGAAGAAAAUGAAUUAUGGAUUUAAGUGUUGCUGUUUGCUUUUGCUACCCAGAAGGUCAGACUUAGGGCCUAGUACCUGCUGAUCAAGGCUUACACCAUUGAGGUCUACCAUCAAGCCUAAUUAAAUAUCCAUAGCCAGCAACUACCAUAUUGGACACCGCAAUUUUAGAUCUCUGUUUUAAGCUACCUCUUUUUAAAAAAAAAA
RNAcentral lists this long non-coding RNA (578 nucleotides) under Rattus norvegicus (Norway rat). RNAcentral describes it as "long non-coding RNA NONRATT020894". The record is from RNAcentral. Lineage: Eukaryota; Metazoa; Chordata; Mammalia; Rodentia; Muridae.